GUGCGCGGCAACUCGGGCCUCUUUUUUGUCCCCCUUUUUUCCGCGCGCUCGCGGCGUAAAAAAAGCGGAUUCCGUCGGCCAAAAGCGGCCCGGUUGCCGUCAUCGGCACGGCCGCGGGCCGAUAGAGGCACCCGCGCACUGAAAGACAGACCGAGCACAAGCGACGGACAAGGCGCCCAUAAGAAUCAGGUCUUUUUUUGGGACGAUAGGGACCAGAGGCGGACAGGUUGAUCCGCAAGAGGGACCUAAACCGCGCAGCCAUCGCGCUCUAGACGAUAGCCGUCGUCGCAACCCACUUUUGAGCCUACUUCUUUUCCUGCGACAAGAAUGCAUGACGCUGCCGACGAAAAAGAAAGGACCCCCUGGCCAAGAUCUCGCUUCCUCCUCGUCUCUUCAUUGUUCGAUGCGCACGCACUAGCGCUUGCUAACGGCUAAAACUCUUUUAUAAACGACUCAAAUGGCGAAUCAAACAUGUGCGAUUUACGAAAAUUUAUUGGCUCGUCUGUGGCCGAGUUUCAGCCGUUA
This 525-nucleotide long non-coding RNA is filed under the name Pandoravirus dulcis. RNAcentral describes it as "putative ncRNA". The record is from RNAcentral.